Molecule: ribosomal RNA, 323 nt
Filed under: uncultured eukaryote
Lineage: Eukaryota
Description: partial 18S ribosomal RNA
Rfam family: Eukaryotic small subunit ribosomal RNA
Source: RNAcentral
CCCUUAGAUGUUCUGGGCCGCACGCGCGCUACACUGAUGCAUUCAACGAGUUACCUUGGCCGAGAGGCCUGGGCAAUCUUUUAAACCUGCAUCGUGAUAGGGAUAGAUUAUUGCAAUUAUUAAUCUUGAACGAGGAAUUCCUAGUAAACGCAAAUCAUCAAUUUGCAUUGAUUACGUCCCUGCCCUUUGUACACACCGCCCGUCGCACCUACCGAUUGAAUGGUCCGGUGAAGCCUCGGGAUUGUGGCCAGUUCACUUUAUUGGGAGUUGGCUGCGAGAACUUGUCUAAACCUUAUCAUUUAGAGGAAGGUGAAGUCGUAACA